GACGAACGCUGGCGGCGUGCUUAACACAUGCAAGUCGAACGGAAAGGCCCUGCUUUUGUGGGGUGCUCGAGUGGCGAACGGGUGAGUAACACGUGAGUAACCUGCCCUUGACUUUGGGAUAACUUCAGGAAACUGGGGCUAAUACCGGAUAGGAGCUCCUGCUGCAUGGUGGGGGUUGGAAAGUUUCGGCGGUUGGGGAUGGACUCGCGGCUUAUCAGCUUGUUGGUGGGGUAGUGGCUUACCAAGGCUUUGACGGGUAGCCGGCCUGAGAGGGUGACCGGCCACAUUGGGACUGAGAUACGGCCCAGACUCCUACGGGAGGCAGCAGUGGGGAAUAUUGCACAAUGGGCGGAAGCCUGAUGCAGCAACGCCGCGUGCGGGAUGACGGCCUUCGGGUUGUAAACCGCUUUCGCCUGUGACGAAGCGUGAGUGACGGUAAUGGGUAAAGAAGCACCGGCUAACUACGUGCCAGCAGCCGCGGUGAUACGUAGGGUGCGAGCGUUGUCCGGAUUUAUUGGGCGUAAAGGGCUCGUAGGUGGUUGAUCGCGUCGGAAGUGUAAUCUUGGGGCUUAACCCUGAGCGUGCUUUCGAUACGGGUUGACUUGAGGAAGGUAGGGGAGAAUGGAAUUCCUGGUGGAGCGGUGGAAUGCGCAGAUAUCAGGAGGAACACCAGUGGCGAAGGCGGUUCUCUGGGCCUUUCCUGACGCUGAGGAGUGAAAGCGUGGGGAGCGAACAGGCUUAGAUACCCUGGUAGUCCACGCUGUAAACGGUGGGUACUAGGUGUGGGGUCCAUUCCACGGGUUCCGUGCCGUAGCUAACGCUUUAAGUACCCCGCCUGGGGAGUACGGCCGCAAGGCUAAAACUCAAAGGAAUUGACGGGGCCCCGCACAAGCGGCGGAGCAUGCGGAUUAAUUCGAUGCAACGCGUAGAACCUUACCUGGGUUUGACAUGGAUCGGGAGUGCUCAGAGAUGGGUGUGCCUCUUUUGGGGUCGGUUCACAGGUGGUGCAUGGCUGUCGUCAGCUCGUGUCGUGAGAUGUUGGGUUAAGUCCCGCAACGAGCGCAACCCUUGUUCACUGUUGCCAGCACGUUAUGGUGGGGACUCAGUGGAGACCGCCGGGGUCAACUCGGAGGAAGGUGGGGAUGACGUCAAGUCAUCAUGCCCCUUAUGUCCAGGGCUUCACGCAUGCUACAAUGGCUGGUACAGAGAGUGGCGAGCCUGUGAGGGUGAGCGAAUCUCGGAAAGCCGGUCUCAGUUCGGAUUGGGGUCUGCAACUCGACCUCAUGAAGUCGGAGUCGCUAGUAAUCGCAGAUCAGCAACGCUGCGGUGAAUACGUUCCCGGG
Molecule: ribosomal RNA, 1343 nt
Filed under: uncultured bacterium
Lineage: Bacteria
Description: 16S ribosomal RNA
Rfam family: Bacterial small subunit ribosomal RNA
Source: RNAcentral